UAUAAGUGUAAAUUUAUAAUUUAAAUUAUUAUAAGUUAUAGUCUUUAAAAUUAAAAAUUUUGGCGGUAUUUUAGUCUAUUCAGAGGAACCUGUUCUAUAAUUGAUAAUCCACGAUUUAUAUUACUUAUUUUAAAUAAUUUAUAUAUCGUCGUAGUUGGAAUAUUUUAUAAGAAAUAUAAUAUUCAUAAUUUUUUAUUUAAAAAUAAAUCAGAUCAAGGUGUAGUUUAUAAAUAAGAAGAAAUGGGUUACAAUAAUAUUAAUUUUUCUUUUAAAAUUUAAAGAUUUUAAUUAAAUUGGAUUUGAAAGUAAUAUAAAUUAAUUAAUUUAUAUAAUUUAAGCUCUAAAAUAUGU
This 351-nucleotide ribosomal RNA is filed under the name Eusphalerum merkli. Its description in RNAcentral is "partial 12S ribosomal RNA". The record is from RNAcentral. Lineage: Eukaryota; Metazoa; Arthropoda; Insecta; Coleoptera; Staphylinidae.